UAUACCAGUUGACGAAAAAAUAUCCAAUCAAGAUCGGAUCAUCAGGGUGCAUCUGAAAAUUUUUUAUUCUAAAAUUUUAUAACCUUUAUAAAUUAUCUUAUAUGUAGUAGAAUAAGAAUCAAAAUUCUCAGGGGGUUACUUGAAUCUAAUGUCUCACAAGAUCUGGAAGUACAGGUCCUCUACUUCGCACGCACGCCAAGCCCGAUAGGAAAAAGAGAUGAUCUUCGGGAUGUCACACCUUCUGAAGGCUAGCAAAGAGAGAGAGAAGAUCUAAUCUCAUGCAUCUGGAAGGGAGUCUUCACACCAAGAUAUAGCACCCAAGAACUCCACCACACCAAAGAAAGGAUGCUUCCUUUCUUGUUGCACAAAACCUCAUGGUGAUUUUGUGUUGUCGCACAAAACUUUUUUUUUUCAUAAUCAUCAGUGGUUUGUUUCCUCCCUUUGAAUAAGUGAUGCCCC
Molecule: long non-coding RNA, 459 nt
Filed under: Elaeis guineensis (African oil palm)
Lineage: Eukaryota; Viridiplantae; Streptophyta; Magnoliopsida; Arecales; Arecaceae
Description: long non-coding RNA (EGUI_LNC033808)
Source: RNAcentral